RNAcentral lists this ribosomal RNA (301 nucleotides) under uncultured bacterium. Its description in RNAcentral is "partial 16S ribosomal RNA". It matches the Rfam family "Bacterial small subunit ribosomal RNA", at positions 509 to 807 of the family's 1533-position model. The record is from RNAcentral.
CAGUAGCCACGGUAAUACGAAGGGGGCUAGCGUUGCUCGGAAUCACUGGGCGUAAAGGGUGCGUAGGCGGGUCUUUAAGUCAGGGGUGAAAUCCUGGAGCUCAACUCCAGAACUGCCUUUGAUACUGAAGAUCUUGAGUUCGGGAGAGGUGAGUGGUACUGCGAGUGUAGAGGUGAAAUUCGUAGAUAUUCGCAAGAACACCAGUGGCGAAGGCGGCUCACUGGCCCGAUACUGACGCUGAGGCACGAAAGCGUGGGGAGCAAACAGGAUUAGAUACCCCCGUAGUCCCUGUCUCUUAUAC